UCUCUGAUGUUAGCGGCGGACGGGUGAGUAACACGUGGAUAACCUACCUAUAAGACUGGGAUAACUUCGGGAAACCGGAGCUAAUACCGGAUAAUAUUUUGAACCGCAUGGUUCAAAAGUAAAAGACGGUCUUGCUGUCACUUAUAGAUGGAUCCGCGCUGCAUUAGCUAGUUGGUAAGGUAACGGCUUACCAAGGCAACGAUGCAUAGCCGACCUGAGAGGGUGAUCGGCCACACUGGAACUGAGACACGGUCCAGACUCCUACGGGAGGCAGCAGUAGGGAAUCUUCCGCAAUGGGCGAAAGCCUGACGGAGCAACGCCGCGUGAGUGAUGAAGGUCUUCGGAUCGUAAAACUCUGUUAUUAGGGAAGAACAUAUGUGUAAGUAACUGUGCACAUCUUGACGGUACCUAAUCAGAAAGCCACGGCUAACUACGUGCCAGCAGCCGCGGUAAUACGUAGGUGGCAAGCGUUAUCCGGAAUUAUUGGGCGUAAAGCGCGCGUAGGCGGUUUUUUAAGUCUGAUGUGAAAGCCCACGGCUCAACCGUGGAGGGUCAUUGGAAACUGGAAAACUUGAGUGCAGAAGAGGAAAGUGGAAUUCCAUGUGUAGCGGUGAAAUGCGCAGAGAUAUGGAGGGACACCAGUGGCGAAGGCGACUUUCUGGUCUGUAACUGACGCUGAUGUGCGAAAGCGUGGGGAUCAAACAGGAUUAGAUACCCUGGUAGUCCACGCCGUAAACGAUGAGUGCUAAGUGUUAGGGGGUUUCCGCCCCUUAGUGCUGCAGCUAACGCAUUAAGCACUCCGCCUGGGGAGUACGACCGC
RNAcentral lists this ribosomal RNA (820 nucleotides) under uncultured Staphylococcus sp. Its description in RNAcentral is "bacterial SSU rRNA". It matches the Rfam family "Bacterial small subunit ribosomal RNA", at positions 83 to 889 of the family's 1533-position model. The record is from RNAcentral. Lineage: Bacteria; Bacillati; Bacillota; Bacilli; Caryophanales; Staphylococcaceae.